GAUGAACGCUGGCGGCGUGCCUAAUACAUGCAAGUCGAACGGAGACUGUAGCAAUACGGUCUUAGUGGCGAACGGGUGAGUAACGCGUUGGUGACCUGCCCCGAAGCGAGGGAUAACAGUUCGAAAGGACUGCUAAUACCCCAUGUGGUCUUCGAGAUUAGAUGCUUGAUGACUAAAGGAGCAAUCCACUUCGGGAGGGGCCUGCGUCCCAUCAGCUAGUUGGUAGGGUAAUGGCCUACCAAGGCAUUGACGGGUAGGGGACCUGAGAGGGUGACCCCCCACACUGGCACUGAAACACGGGCCAGACACCUACGGGUGGCAGCAGUAGGGAAUAUUGCAUAAUGGGCGAAAGCCUGAUGCAGCAACGCCGCGUGCGCGAUGAAGGCCUUGGGUCGUAAAGCGCUUUUCAGAGGGAAGAGGAAGGACGGUACCUCUGGAAUAAGUCUCGGCUAACUACGUG
RNAcentral lists this ribosomal RNA (460 nucleotides) under uncultured bacterium. RNAcentral describes it as "bacterial SSU rRNA". It matches the Rfam family "Bacterial small subunit ribosomal RNA", at positions 28 to 507 of the family's 1533-position model. The record is from RNAcentral.